Molecule: ribosomal RNA, 253 nt
Filed under: uncultured bacterium
Lineage: Bacteria
Description: partial 16S ribosomal RNA
Rfam family: Bacterial small subunit ribosomal RNA
Source: RNAcentral
UACAGAGGGGGCAAGCGUUGUUCGGAAUUACUGGGCGUAAAGGGCGCGUAGGCGGCCUGUUAAGUCGAACGUGAAAUCCCCGGGCUCAACCCGGGAACUGCGUCCGAUACUGGCAGGCUUGAAUUCGGGAGAGGGAUGUGGAAUUCCAGGUGUAGCGGUGAAAUGCGUAGAUAUCUGGAGGAACACCGGUGGCGAAGGCGGCAUCCUGGACCGAUAUUGACGCUGAGGAGCGAAAGCUAGGGGAGCAAACGGG